UAUAAAGAUGCUGAAAAGGCUUAAAAAAAUAAACAUAAGAAAGGUUAAUACUUGUACUUUUUGUAUCAUGGCCUAUAGAGAGUUUAAUUAAUUAGAAAUUCCUGAAAAUUAAAGAGCUACCCAUAAAGAAAUAUUAAAUGUUACAACAUUUAGAAUUUAUUACUGGGUAGAGGUGAUAUGCCAUUCGAUUUAGUUGAUAGCUGGUUAAAGGGAAAAUAUAUUAAAGUAUAGAAAAAUUUAUGAAAUGGAAAAUUAAUUAAUAAAAUUUUAUUCAUUUAGGUUUAUUUGAACCUAUAAAGGCUAAGCUUUAUAGGGUAUAAAUUAAUAAAAAAAUUUAGUAGUAAUAAAGGUGUUCAUCUAUAAAAAAUUUGUUCAAAUUAAAUUAUUUUAAAAUAAAGAUAAAUUGUUUUGUACCCUUUUUUUAAUAAAAUAAAAUUAGUAUAGGAUAAUUAUAUAAAAAAAAUUAAAUAUAAUACUUUUCUAGGAAUUAUAAAGGUUAAAUUAAUUAAGUAAAUAGAUGUAAAGAAUGAAUUCGGCAAAAAUGGGCUUUGCCUGUUUACCAAAGACAUCGCUCUUUGUAAUUAUAAGGAGUCGUGCCUGCCCGGUGGAUACAUAAAAUUUUUUAACGGCAGUAGUUACAACUAUUUUAAAGUAGCGCAAUAAAUUGCCCUUUAAUUAAGGGAAGGAAUGAAUGGCUUGACGAGAGUCCAACUGUGUCCUUUACAAUAAUUAAAAUUUUUUUUAGGUUAAAAUGCCUUAGUAUAUUUAAUAGACGAGAAGACCCUAUUGAGCUUAAAUAAUGAGUUAAAUAUAUAAUUCAAAAUGUUUAGUUGGGAAAUCGAAGUGUGAUGUAAAUUACAUUCUUAUUAUAAAAGAUAUGGAUCCACUAUAAGUGAAUAGAGAAAAAGCUACCAUAGGGAUAACAGCGUAAUUCUUUUUGAGAGUACUAAUUGAAGGAAGGGAUUGCGACCUCGAUGUUGAAUCAAGAUAACCUUAAGGUUGCAGAAGCUUUAGAGGGUUGGUCUGUUCGACCAUUAAAAUCUUACGUGAUUUGAGUUCAGGACGGCGUGAGCUAGUCUGGUUUCUAUCUUUAUUUAUUUUAAAAAAAAAUUUUUUGUACGAAAGGACUUAAAUUUUUAUUUUUAGUGCUAUA
RNAcentral lists this ribosomal RNA (1153 nucleotides) under Conchocele cf. bisecta HPD1644. Its description in RNAcentral is "16S ribosomal RNA". The stretch from base 475 to 1153 matches the Rfam family "Archaeal large subunit ribosomal RNA", at positions 1423 to 2786 of the family's 2987-position model. Lineage: Eukaryota; Metazoa; Mollusca; Bivalvia; Lucinida; Thyasiridae. The record is from RNAcentral.